This 497-nucleotide ribosomal RNA is filed under the name uncultured bacterium. RNAcentral's name for it is "partial 16S ribosomal RNA". It matches the Rfam family "Bacterial small subunit ribosomal RNA", at positions 28 to 507 of the family's 1533-position model. The record is from RNAcentral.
GAUGAACGCUGGCGGCGUGCCUAAUACAUGCAAGUCGAGCGAACAGACGAGGAGCUUGCUCCUCUGACGUUAGCGGCGGACGGGUGAGUAACACGUGGAUAACCUGCCUAUAAGACUGGGAUAACUUCGGGAAACCGGAGCUAAUACCGGAUAAUAUAUUGAACCGCAUGGUUCAAUAGUGAAAGACGGUUUUGCUGUCACUUAUAGAUGGAUCCGCGCCGCAUUAGCUAGUUGGUAAGGUAACGGCUUACCAAGGCAACGAUGCGUAGCCGACCUGAGAGGGUGAUCGGCCACACUGGAACUGAGACACGGUCCAGACUCCUACGGGAGGCAGCAGUAGGGAAUCUUCCGCAAUGGGCGAAAGCCUGACGGAGCAACGCCGCGUGAGUGAUGAAGGUCUUCGGAUCGUAAAACUCUGUUAUUAGGGAUGAACAAAUGUGUAAGUAACUAUGCACGUCUUGACGGUACCUAAUCAGAAAGCCACGGCUAACUACGUG